AACGAACGCUGGCGGCAUGCCUAACACAUGCCAGUCGAACGAGACCUUCGGGUCUAGUGGCGCAUGGGUGCGUAACGCGUGGGAACCUGCCCUUAGGUUCGGAAUAACUCCCCGAAAGGGGUGCUAAUACCGGAUAAUGUCUUCGGACCAAAGAUUUAUCGGCUUUGGAUGGGCCCGCGUUGGAUUAGCUAGUUGGUAGGGUAAAAGCAUACCAAGGCGACGAUCCAUAGCUGGUCAGAGAGGAUGAUCAGCCACACUGGGACUGAGACACGGCCCAGACUCCUACGGGAGGCAGCAGUGGGGAAUAUUGGACAGUGGGCGAAAGCCUGAUCCAGCAAUGCCGCGUGAGUGAUGAAGGCCUUAGGGUUGUAAAGCUCUUUUACCCGGGAUGAUAAUGACAGUACCGGGAGAAUAAGCCCCGGCUAACUCCGUG
RNAcentral lists this ribosomal RNA (433 nucleotides) under uncultured bacterium. RNAcentral describes it as "partial 16S ribosomal RNA". It matches the Rfam family "Bacterial small subunit ribosomal RNA", at positions 29 to 507 of the family's 1533-position model. The record is from RNAcentral.